RNAcentral lists this ribosomal RNA (477 nucleotides) under uncultured Rhodoferax sp. Its description in RNAcentral is "bacterial SSU rRNA". It matches the Rfam family "Bacterial small subunit ribosomal RNA", at positions 902 to 1382 of the family's 1533-position model. The record is from RNAcentral. Lineage: Bacteria; Pseudomonadati; Pseudomonadota; Betaproteobacteria; Burkholderiales; Comamonadaceae.
CAAAUGAAUUGACGGGACCCGCACAAGCGGUGGAUGAUGUGGUUUAAUUCGAUGCAACGCGAAAACCUUACCCACCUUUGACAUGUACGGAACCUUUAGAGAUAGAGGGGUGCUCGAAAGAGAGCCGUAACACAGGUGCUGCAUGGCUGUCGUCAGCUCGUGUCGUGAGAUGUUGGGUUAAGUCCCGCAACGAGCGCAACCCUUGUCAUUAGUUGCUACAUUCAGUUGGGCACUCUAAUGAGACUGCCGGUGACAAGCCGGAGGAAGGUGGGGAUGACGUCAAGUCCUCAUGGCCCUUAUAGGUGGGGCUACACACGUCAUACAAUGGCUGGUACAAAGGGUUGCCAACCCGCGAGGGGGAGCCAAUCCCAUAAAGCCAGUCGUAGUCCGGAUCGUAGUCUGCAACUCGACUACGUGAAGUCGGAAUCGCUAGUAAUCGUGGAUCAGAAUGUCACGGUGAAUACGUUCCCGGGUCUU